CCUACGGGAGGCAGCAGUGGGGAAUAUUGCACAAUGGGGGGAACCCUUAUGCAGCGACGCCGCGUGAGUGAAGAAGUAUUUCUGUAUGUAAAGCUCUAUCAGCAGGGAAAAAAAUGACGGUACCUGACUAAGAAGCCCCGGCUAACUACGUUCCAGCAGCCGCGGUAAUACGUCGGGGGCAAGCGUUAUACGGAUUUACUGGGUGUAAAGGGAGCGUAGACGGUUAUGCAAGUCUGAAGUGAAAGCCCAAGGCUCAACCAUGGGACUGCUUUGGAAACUGGAAAACUGGAGUGCAUGAGAGGUAAGCGGAAUGCGUGGUGUAGCGGUGAAAUGCGUAGAUAUUAGGAGGAACACCAGGGGCGAAGGCGGCUUACUGGACUGUAACUGACGUUGAGGCUCGAAGGCGUGGGGAGCAAACAGGAUUAGAUACCCUAGUAGUC
This 440-nucleotide ribosomal RNA is filed under the name uncultured bacterium. RNAcentral's name for it is "partial 16S ribosomal RNA". It matches the Rfam family "Bacterial small subunit ribosomal RNA", at positions 338 to 795 of the family's 1533-position model. The record is from RNAcentral.